RNAcentral lists this long non-coding RNA (1042 nucleotides) under Chrysemys picta bellii (western painted turtle). RNAcentral describes it as "lncRNA (ENSCPBG00000003213.1)". The record is from RNAcentral. Lineage: Eukaryota; Metazoa; Chordata; Testudines; Emydidae.
UCUCACGGAGCCGGCACCGCCCCAACCACCGGCACCGUCGGCACCGUUGACUCGUCCGGUCCAAUCUAGGGGGAAACCUGCCUUGAUGCGCCCUCCAUCGCAGGGGCUGGAACCACGGCACCGGUCCAGGUCCCGAAGCAGGUCUCCACGCCGCUCGCAGUCCCGGCGCCGGAUAUCACCUCGGCACCGGUCGUACUCGCAGCCAAGAUCAUCGUCGCGGCACCGCUCUACGUCUCAGCACCGCUACGAUCGUCGGCACCGAUCGACAUCGAGACGUAGUUCUCGGCACCGAUACGAUCGACGCUCGACGUCGAGAGGCCGCUCCCGGCACCGGGCCUACUCCAGGUCAUCGUCCAGGUCCAGAUCCGACUCCCGGCACCGGCGAGGUCAUCGGCACCGAUCGCGAUCUCGGCACCGAUCACCGACACCGCGUAGAGAUAGAACAUCUCCAGACCAGCACCGUGCGGCACCGUAUCCCACGGGAUUCGUCUCGGCGCAGUCGGCACCGCCAUGGCCAUCGAGAUCGGUGUCUCGCUCCUCUGAGGACAUAUCGAGAUCGGCAUACCCCCCUCAGGGGCAAGCCGAGGAGCAAGAUAUAGGCCAUUGGCAGGAGGUAGCAGAGGACCCUGCUCAUGGCCCAUCUCACUGGUCGUUCUGGACCCCGUGGGCGUACCAUCAGGCGCAAGGGGCUCCAAUAACUUCAACCUCUCGCUCGGGUCACUCUGACAGAAGGGCCCCAGAGUCCACCAUCUCUCGCCCUCCUCCAGGGGGCAUGGAGGCUUCCGUGUCCGCACCACCUGACGUCCUGGACCCAAGGGCAGGUGAUGCUCCGGCCCAGGAACAGGGAGACCAGGACCCUCCCUUGGAUCCCUUGCCACCGGAGGCAUCUUCCUCUUCCUCUCCGGAUGAGGCAGUGGCGGGCACGUCGUGCACAGGUCCACCCCCAAUAGAUCUUCGGGCUCAUCAGGACCUCUUACGUAGGAUGGCCCGUAAUAUGGACCUACAGGCGGAGGAGAUAGUGGAGGUGCAGGACCCCAUUGUA